Molecule: ribosomal RNA, 107 nt
Filed under: Planctomycetota bacterium
Lineage: Bacteria; Pseudomonadati; Planctomycetota
Source: RNAcentral
CCUGGUGGCUUUGGCGGAGGGGCAACGCCUGUUCCCAUUCCGAACACAGUAGCUAAGUCCUCCAGCGCCGAUGGUACUGGCAACGGGAGAGUAGGUCGCCGCCAGGA